Molecule: non-coding RNA, 243 nt
Organism: Vicia faba (fava bean)
Lineage: Eukaryota; Viridiplantae; Streptophyta; Magnoliopsida; Fabales; Fabaceae
Source: the annotation of a GenBank genome assembly
AUGCAACUUAACUACAGAUUUCAAAUCAAGUGUAAUGAAACUGAGAACUCAACAAACAUUAGAAAUAAUGAGAAAGAGGCAGAGUUAAGAUCAAAGCGAGGUUUGCGUUUGGAAGAGAGUGAAGAGAGAGAAAAGAUAGUACUACUCUUGCAGUGUGAGGAGGUAAAGGGGAAUACAAGAGUUUGGAUUUGCGCAACAACAGAUUCAAGAUUCAGACACAACAUUUACGUUCUUUGUCUGUAA